CCGCCCUCCUCGCGAGCACAGGGCUCCACGUCCAUCCCAACCGAGCAGAGCCCAAGCCCUGCUCCCUCCCCAAGCAACUGCCAUGCUGUCUUCACGCCUCAACCUGCGUGUAAGCGGCGGGGCCGACACGUUUCCAUCUUUAUUUCCUGGUUCUCCUAACAUAUGAGGCUUCUGCGUGUGUUUUGAAAAUCCUAACUCAUGAGGAUUAUCCAAGCAAUACAGCAACCAUCGUUUCUCCCUGUAUAGCAGAAUUAUGUAUUUUUUAUAUUAUAUUUAAGGUGUUUGGAGAAGGCAGAAGGUCAGGUACAGCUUGCCAGCUGACAACCGUCCUUGCUUCACAUCUCUGGUGUGCUUUUAGCUGAUAUAUACCCGAGAGAAAGGCAGCCAGCAGGACGGUGUUACCAUCGUUGGGAAAAGCGACACCGACAUGGGGCUCUGGAGAAAAACGUCCCAAAAAAGUGUCGCCAUCCCCGACUGACGCCGAGCCACCACUCGGAUCCUCUCCGCUCUCCCGGCCCUGAACCGCCGCGAUCAGACCCACAGGCGCCAGCCGGUAACACCGCAAAGCGGCUCCACUCACGAGGGGAACCGGGAACUGCCGGCUCUGACUGUGCUGGUGAAGUGUAGGUGUAUGCGGUGCACCAGAACUGAUGGAGAAGAGUCACCAGCGAGUCCUCUGCACUUCUGUGAGCAGAAGAGCUGGGAGGGCAGAAGCCCAUUCCUACACCUACCAGUACCUUCGAUGGGAGCAGCACCAAAU
This is a long non-coding RNA of Dromaius novaehollandiae (emu), 760 nucleotides long. RefSeq lists it as uncharacterized. Lineage: Eukaryota; Metazoa; Chordata; Aves; Casuariiformes; Dromaiidae. The transcript is spliced from 3 exons. The record is from RefSeq and is a predicted model, not a curated record.